AUUACAUUUUUAAUGUUUUCUUUAACAUUAAAGCUAUAUAUUUUUUAUUUUUUUGACAACAAUAACUAAACUAUGAUAAAAACCCUAUCGGUCCGGAAAACCAAGUCGGUGGAGUGGAAUCAACAUAAAAACAGCUGAAAGGGAACUUCGAGCACCUCGUGCAAACUUGUCCGCCACUAGAUUAGUUUCUCUUGGUAUAUGUCGAAUCUUGAAGGAAGCGAAGAAACACUUACUGCGUAGAAACUCCUCCAUGUGUGUGUAGCAAAGACUGGUCAUUCGUCUGGUGAGGACAUCAUCUUCACCAAUUGAGAACAGUUUGUUGCAAAAACUACAUCUGAAUAAUCAAGGGUCUUCGUGCACUCCAGAGCCCAUAUCAAAACUUCACAUUUGGCAUGUAAAGCUGAUAAGCUUCUUCGGAGAUUCAUCGCCCCCAUCA
This 436-nucleotide long non-coding RNA is filed under the name Brassica napus (rape). Its description in RNAcentral is "long non-coding RNA (BNAP_LNC023994)". The record is from RNAcentral. Lineage: Eukaryota; Viridiplantae; Streptophyta; Magnoliopsida; Brassicales; Brassicaceae.